RNAcentral lists this ribosomal RNA (377 nucleotides) under uncultured bacterium. RNAcentral describes it as "bacterial SSU rRNA". It matches the Rfam family "Bacterial small subunit ribosomal RNA", at positions 523 to 898 of the family's 1533-position model. The record is from RNAcentral.
AUACGUAGGAGGCAAGCGUUAUCCGAAUUUACUGGGCGUAAAGCGCGUGCAGGCGGUUCGGUAAGUUGGAUGUGAAAUCUCCUGGCUCAACUGGGAGAGGUCGUUCAAUACUGUCGGACUAGAGGAUGGUAGAGGGAGGUGGAAUUCCCGGUGUAGUGGUGAAAUGCGUAGAUAUCGGGAGGAACACCAGUGGCGAAAGCGGCCUCCUGGACCAUUCCUGACGCUCAGACGCGAAAGCUAGGGGAGCGAACGGGAUUAGACACCCCGGUAGUCCUAGCUGUAAACGAUGUGGACUUGGCGUCGGUGGGGUAAAAGCCAUCGGUGCCGGAGCUAACGCGGUAAGUCCACCGCCUGGGGACUACGGCCGCAAGGUUAAA